This 253-nucleotide ribosomal RNA is filed under the name uncultured bacterium. Its description in RNAcentral is "partial 16S ribosomal RNA". It matches the Rfam family "Bacterial small subunit ribosomal RNA", at positions 524 to 776 of the family's 1533-position model. The record is from RNAcentral.
UACGGGGGUGGCGAGCGUUACUCGGAUUUAUUGGGUGUAAAGGGCAGGUAGGUGGCUAUGCAAGUCGAUGGUGAAAUCCCCAGGCUUAACCUGGGAACUGCCUUCGAAACUGCAUAGCUUGAGGAUGGGAGAGGAGAACGGAAUUCCCGGUGUAAGAGUGAAAUCUGUAGAUAUCGGGAGGAACACCAGUGGCGAAGGCGGUUCUCUGGCCUAUCCCUGACACUGAGCUGCGAAAGCAUGGGGAGCAAACAGG